RNAcentral lists this ribosomal RNA (253 nucleotides) under uncultured Oscillospiraceae bacterium. Its description in RNAcentral is "partial 16S ribosomal RNA". It matches the Rfam family "Bacterial small subunit ribosomal RNA", at positions 524 to 776 of the family's 1533-position model. The record is from RNAcentral. Lineage: Bacteria; Bacillati; Bacillota; Clostridia; Eubacteriales; Oscillospiraceae.
UACGUAGGUGGCAAGCGUUGUCCGGAUUUAUUGGGCGUAAAGCGAGCGCAGGCGGAAAGAUAAGUCUGAUGUGAAAGCCCCCGGCUUAACCCAUGAACUGCUAUUGAAACUGCACAGCUUGAGUGAAGUAGAGGUAGGCGGAAUUCCCGGUGUAGCGGUGAAAUGCGUAGAGAUCGGGAGGAACACCAGUGGCGAAGGCGGCCUACUGGGCUUUAACUGACGCUGAGGCACGAAAGCGUGGGUAGCAAACAGG